This is a long non-coding RNA of Loxodonta africana (African savanna elephant), 4000 nucleotides long. RefSeq lists it as uncharacterized. The record is from RefSeq and is a predicted model, not a curated record. The transcript is spliced from 3 exons. Lineage: Eukaryota; Metazoa; Chordata; Mammalia; Proboscidea; Elephantidae.
UUCCAGCAUUACAGCAACAUGCAAGACAUUGUAGUACAACAAACUAAUGGGUAUAGUAUGACACACUACGAUGGCUGUAAGUUAAAAAAUGGAAAAUAAAAAGUGUUCGGGAGGAUGUGGAGAAAGUGAAACCCUCAUGUACUGCUGGGAGGAACGCAAAAUGGUGCAGCUGCUUUGGGAAACAGUUUGGCAGCUCCUCAAAAGGCUAAACAGAAAGUUGCUAUAUGACCAGCAACUCUACUCCUAGGGAUAUACCCAACAGAACUGAAAAUAUACAUUCACGCUUAGAGAGAGCACCCACAGUGUUGUACUAAAACCCUGUUUCCUUUGCUGGCUUCCCGGCCCCCCAGCUUUGCAUCUGAAUUCUGCUUUUGCUUGGAGGUUAUAUGUAAACCCCACUGCACCUGCGUAGUAUGGUUAAGAAUGUUGUUGAUGUAACCUGUAUGAACUCCCUACUUGUAAAUCCCCUUCAAAGUAACUUCCCUGCCCAUCCUUGGCGAGCAGUCUUGGCAGCAGCUCCAACUGACUCCUUUCCUUGUACAACGAAAUAAAGGUGCCUUUCCUGCUUUCCCACAUGGGUCUCUUGUUUAUUGGCCAAUAUGAGUCAUGCCAAGCAAGUACCUGGGGUUUCUACCCGGUAACGUUUCUGGCAAGCUAGCCAGGAGCCAUCUGCUCGGUUCCUGAGGUAGAUGAGAAAACAGACUGGCCCUGACAUCUGGCACCACCAGGAGAUUUCUCCUGGAGACCCUGGAGCAGCUCUGAAGGCUGAUCCCCCCAAGACCCAAAUGAUGGCUUAGAUGGGAGACACGAAAUGCUCUUGGGUUGUUUGGGAUUCUAAAACCAUGAAUCCAGUCAAUCUCAAGGAGCCCCGGACUGCGGAGCAGAGGCGGACAAAAAGAGAGGUCCUAUCUUCUGGACCCGAGCAUUCACACGCCACAUUCCUUUGACAGCAAUGGGAUAAGUUUUUACUUUGUUGAUUUGCUGAAAACGUUUGACCAAAAUAUCUCAGCAAAAAGAUGGACUAUACUGGACUGGAGAAAAGGACUGUGACUAGACUGAAUAAAAUUUCCAGAACUCCUGUGCAGAAGCCGGCAGGUUCACAGAUUGCAGGUGAUCCUGAAUCACGUGGAACAGAAAUGAACUACAUGAGACUGAGUAAAUGAAAGGAAACUAUGGGUUUUAUUUGGGGAUACUGCUGAUGUUUUAAAGUCCUACUUUCUGGAUAUAAGAAACCAUUUUCCUUUCUCCCAAAUCAUCUAACUAAUGGGUUUACAUAUUGUAAUUCUUAAAAGUUCUUGGUGGUAAUCUUAGUAAAAUUGUAACUAUCAUAACCUGAGAUGUGUCUGAAAUUCGAGCCAUGAUCUUACAAAUCAGAACAGCAUUAGAUUUCCUAUUAGUUCUCCCGAGGAGCUGAUUGUGCCUUAACAGACAGAUGUUGCUGCGUUUAUAUUAACACUCAGUCUGAGGUCUGCAGAAUGGAGUUGUUGCUGAGGCACAUGAAAAGCCAUUACUGAUGCUGCUUAUGUGCAGACGAACACCUCAAGAGAUUUCUUUCCUUGGUUCAAAGACCUUAGGGUCAUGGUUUCACUGGUUAUUUCAGACAACUGGCCUAAUAUUACUGUUACCAUUUCUAUUCUACCUCCUAGUUACCUCUUGUUGCACUUGGGUAAAUAACACAAGACAAGUAGAACAAGAUAUAUAUAGAAUUAGGCAACGAGCUACUUGAUUACAUGCUGUAACACCCUUACAAACACCGUAUUUAUUUGCCUGGUUACCAUCAGGAAUAAGUACAUGGGCUAGAUCACUACAGCAAGGAACAGUAAUAUUCUUAGUCUGCAUCCUAGUAUUAGGCACGUUAAACUUAUCUUCUAUUGUCUUACACAUUUAAAAGGCAAAAGAAGGCCUUAGGCUAAAAUGUUGAUGUACAUUGAGUCUGCUCACUUUGGCAAAGGGAUUGAUGAGAACAUAACUCUUACUUAAGACCCUGGUGAAGAACCAGAUGGUAUCUGGUGGAAAACCAACACCUUGUGUUUAAAGAACCUGCCAUGGCCGCCAUCUAAGGGCUCAACUAAGUCCAGGUAUUAAUCAUCAAUGUGCUACCUCCAAGCUCUGAUCAAAAGAAAAGAAUGAUUUAGGAGAUAAUACUGGAGCCAUAUCCCCUAUCCUUGAGCAUAGAGAAUGUGACCCUGCUGAAGCUGGACUCACAAAGACUCAAAAGACAUAUCAAUUAGGCCCUGAGGUAUAAAGACAAUAGCUAAGAGAAUAAAAAUCUUUUAGGGAAAUAGUCACAUAAACAGGGCAUAAAAGCCACUCUUUUUCUUUUAAUAUUUAGUAAAUAGUUAUAAACCAACAAGAGGUCAGUAGCCACAACGAAAGGCCUAGGUCCAGUAUUUAUGCCCCUCCCCGAAAUUAUGCGAAACAAUUCCAAGCCGAGCUAUAGCUCAAAAUGGACACUGGUCUCGAAUGACCAAUGUCCCAAAAGAAAUGAGAGGAGUGAGACAGAGCCCCCACAGUAUUGUAUUAAAAACCCUGUUUCCUUUGCUGGGCUUCCCCACCCCCCAGCUUUGCAUUUGAAUCCUGCUUUUGCUUGCAGGUUAUAGGUAAACCCCAUUGCACCCACGUAAUAUGAUUAAGAAUGUUGCUGAUGUGACUUGUAUGAACUCUCCACUUGUAAACCCCUUUAAUAGUAACCUGCCUGCCUGCCCGCCCUUGGCGAGCAGUCUUGGCAGCAGUAAGCACCGACUGACUCCAUUUCCUUGUACAAUGAAAUAAAGGCACCUUUCCUGCUCUCCCACCUUGGUCUCUCAUUUAUUGGCCAAUAUGAGUCAUGUCAAACAAGAACCUGGGGUCUCCACCCUGUUACAACACAAAAACUUGUACACAAACAUUCACAGCAGCAUUGUUCACAAUAGCUGCAAAGUGGAAACAACCCACAUGACCAUCAACUGAUGAAUCGGCAAAUGAAAUGUGGUAUAUCCAUACAGUGGACUAUGACUCAGCCAUAAAAAGGAUGUGGUGAUAGAUGCUGUGAUAUGGAUGAACCCUGGAAACAUCACGCUAAGUAAAAGAAGCCAGACACAAAAGGCUCCGUGCUGUACAACGCUAUUUAUGUAAGAUGUCCAGAAUAGGCAAAUGUGUAGUGAGGAAAAGCAGAUUAGAGGUUGCCAGGAGCAGGGAGGAGGGGGCAAUGAAGAGUGACUGCUUAAGAGGUAUGGGACUUCUUUAUGGGGUGUUGAGAAUGUUCUGGAACUAGACAGAGGUGAUGGUUACACAACACUGUGAAUAUACUAAAAACCACUGAAUGGCACACUUUAAAGGUGGCUAUAACGGUACAUUUUACGUUACAUAAAUUUUACUUCAACAAAAAGAACAAAUAAUCACCUGUACUAAAAAACUCAGAGCAGUCUCUCUCAGCUGCAGAGAUUUCUCUUACGUUCCUUUUCCUUUAAGUAUUAACCUGAAAAUGUCAAAUUACUAUGCCUGAUCUAUAAAAUGGGAUCGUAAUAAGUGCUGUCAUGAGAAGGUUUUGAAAGGAGCCCUGGUGGUUCAACAGUUAAGCCCUCGGCUAACCAGAAGGCGGGCAGUUGAAACCCACCCAAUGGCUUAAAGUGGGAGAAGGAUCUGGUGGCCUGCUCCAGUAAAGAUCAGAGCCCAGAGAGCCCUAUGGGGCAGUUCUACUCUGUUAUAUAGGGUCUCUAUGAGUCAAAACUGACUUGAUGGCACCUGAAAACAAUAAGGUUGUAAGAAGACUAAGAGUAAACAAAGCCCUGGUGGUGCAGGGGAUAAGAGCUUGGCUGCUAACCAAAAGGGCUGGCAGUUCAAAUCCACGAGGUACUCCUUGGAAACCCUAUGGGACAGUUCCUAUAGGGUUGCUAUGAGUCGGAAUAAACUCAGCGGCAACGGGUUUUUUGGUUAUGACAGUAAAUACAUGUAAAGUGCUCAGAACAGUGCCUGACACGAUACCUCUCAAAAAAUGUUCCCCAUUAGCAGUCGUAUUGGA